Oncorhynchus mykiss (rainbow trout) is the source of this 741-nucleotide non-coding RNA. NCBI's taxonomy places the organism in Eukaryota, Metazoa, Chordata, Actinopteri, Salmoniformes, Salmonidae. The record is from RefSeq and is a predicted model, not a curated record.
CGCAGAGCCAGAGAGGGAAAAUCACAUUCACCUGGAGAAGCGCGUGCCAAAUGCAGGUCACCGCUGUCCCUAAAAAAAGGAUUAAGGAUAGAUUUGAGUUGGCCUGAUGGAGAGAUCUUCCAGACUGCUCCGGCCCAUGGAGGAUGCAGAGCAUCACAUAAGAUCAAACAUUGAUAAACCAGUACUUUACCAGUGUUUUAUCAAUAUCUUUAAAGAACGAGGAGUUUUUGCCACUGAAUUCAUAUCCAAAGGAGGCUUUGUUGUGGAGUACCGAGGUGAACUGCUUACACAACAGGAGAGCGAGGUCCGAGCUGAUCAGUACAAUGAUUCUGAAAAGGUGUUUAUUUUCAAUGGAAAGGAAGAACAUGGUGCAUUGAUGCAUCUGAAGAGGACUCCUCCCUUGGGAGACUCGUUAAUGAUGAUCACAAAAGACACAAUCUCAAAAUGAAGGCCAUACAAGCAAACGAUGAGCCACACUUGUGCCUCUUCGCGACUCGAGAUAUUGUAGUUGGCAAAGAGUUGACUUAUAGUUACGGUGAUUCUGACUGGCCAUGGACAACACAGGUCAUCAAAGCUGAUGUGUCGUCCAGCCCAAAACCUAUGGUAAGAACUUUACUAAAGUCAUAGAUCAAUAUGAGUUUCUUUUUUUCUAUUUUCACAUUUACUAUUUCACUUUAACAAAUACACAUUUAUAGUCUAACAUCAAUUGCACUGGAAUGCAGUGCACUUGUUGCAUACUAA